This 375-nucleotide ribosomal RNA is filed under the name Triticum aestivum (bread wheat). RNAcentral describes it as "partial small subunit ribosomal RNA". The record is from RNAcentral. Lineage: Eukaryota; Viridiplantae; Streptophyta; Magnoliopsida; Poales; Poaceae.
GAAGGAAAACGGAAGCCUCAUUGGGUCUCUUGGAAAACUAUGACACAACCCAAGGGCAUGGGGGGUUUAGGGUUCAAAGAUUUUGAGCUAUUUAACCUAGCAAUGUUGGCGAAACAAGCAUGGAGACUACUGCAGAACCCUGAGACCUUGAGUGCACGUAUUCUCAAGAGCAUUUAUUACCAUAAUUCGGACAUUCUUGAGGCCGAACUGGGUAAUCACCCUAGCCAGGUGUGGCGUGCUGUAGUUGAAGGUAGGGACACCCUAAGGCAAGGAUUGAUUAAACGAAUCGGGAAUGGUGCAUCAAUGAUACGUCUCCAACGUAUCUAUAAUUUUUUAUUGUUCCAUGUUGUAUUAUAUUUUGUUUUGGAUGAUUAA